RNAcentral lists this unclassified non-coding RNA (290 nucleotides) under Hevea brasiliensis (rubber tree). Lineage: Eukaryota; Viridiplantae; Streptophyta; Magnoliopsida; Malpighiales; Euphorbiaceae. The record is from RNAcentral.
UUGUAGAAAAGGCCAAAGAGCUUCCCUUUGGUCUGAUUGGAAAAUGCCGCGAUCUGCUUGACGACAAUGGCAUUGGCGCGCUUGCUCUCGCCGGCAUCACGCAGACGCCGCGCCAGCNNNNNNNNNNCCUUCGUUCCUGUAGUCGCUAUUCUUUCCAUUCGCGACGGCAGCUUCAGCGUCCGCCAGUGAAUCGCUGCGGGCGAGUAAAACGCGAACCUGCGCACGCUUGUAGUAGAAAUUCGCCAGAUCCGUGCCAGUCAGAUUUGACUGCGGCGGCGUAUCUGCCGUCU